Suricata suricatta (meerkat) is the source of this 729-nucleotide long non-coding RNA. RefSeq lists it as uncharacterized. The transcript has 3 exons. NCBI's taxonomy places the organism in Eukaryota, Metazoa, Chordata, Mammalia, Carnivora, Herpestidae. The record is from RefSeq and is a predicted model, not a curated record.
UCUGGGAAGUCAUGUCCUCUUCGUGGUGAUGAAGAAAAGUUUCUUGUCUCUUUCCAGCUUGUGACUUAAUGACCUUAAUUUGCCACCAUUUCUGUUGCUAAUGGUCACUCUGGGGUCUGAAUCAGCCGGAUCAUUCUUCCAGCUGUCCCGUCCCCAGGACACCCAAUGCACCUCCCUCAACAACACUCAACUCCUGCUCCAGGACGGAUGUUGUGAACAAGAAAUCUAUACCGAGGACUUGGCUCAAUGUUCUCCAUGUUAUUAACUCCUUUGAUCUUUGCUUCAGCCCCACGAGGUGGGUGCCGUUAGGACUCCUGUUUCACAGAUGAGGACACCGAUGCGCAGAGACCCUGACUUCACGUUGAGAGGGCCGGGGCAGCCCAUCGGCUUCUUGUGCUCAAGAGGAAGGUUCGUUGUGUUGCACUUACAGAAGAUUUCAUAGGAACCAUCUCCUGGCAGAGAGCGGCGGGAGCCUGUAGGUGCCCAUUCAGAAAAGCUGGAGGCAAGCAGACCUCACCUCCCAGGAGGGGUUAAGCCCAGACAGAGAGGGCACCACUCUACAGGGAUGAGGCGUGUGAGCAUGGGAGACAGACACAGCUCUGGGCUGGUGGCGUGUGGCGCUGGGCAACUUACUUCACCCCUGUGAGCCUCAGUUUCUCAUCUGUAAAAUGUGUCUGCUAGUACUUCAUAGGCUUGUUGCAGGAUUAGCUAAGGCACGGAGCGGGCCAU